AUGGCCUCUACGGAAACCACUGGCAGCAGCAAGAAGCUGCGUGUGCUCCUCAUCCCCUUCUUCGCCUCCAGCCACAUCGGACCCUUCACCGAGCUCGCCGUUAGCCUUGCGACGGCCAGACCACAGGCCGUAGAGGCCACCAUCGCGGUGACGCCGGCGAACGUGCCGUUCGUCCAGUCGUUGCUCCAGCGGCACGAGAACAGCAGUGGCAUACCGGUGAAGGUGGCGACGUACCCGUUCCCGGCCGUGGACGGCCUCCCGAGGGGCGUCGAGAACCUCGGCGUGGCCGCGGCGCAGUCACCGGACGCGCUCGUCACCGACGUGCACUUCAUGUGGAACGCCGGCGUCUGCGACGGGCUCGGCGUGCCAUGCGUCACGUUCAACUUCAUUGGUGCCUUCUCGACGCUCGCGAUGCGCCAUCUAUUGGGCCGCGUUUCCAACGGCGAGCCGGAGGUGGUGACUACCAUCCCUCGGUUUCCGGCCCCCGAGAUACGAGUGCCGACGGUGGAGCUGCCGGAGUACUUGAGGAGCCAAGGGAAGGGUGACCAAUCCACCUUCGACCGGCUCUACGCCGUGCAAGGUGACUGCUUCGGGCUGGCCGUCAACACAUCAUCAGAUCUGGAGGAGCACUACUGCGGGAUGUACGUGGGCAAUGGCUACGCGAAGCGUGCGUACAUGCUAGCUAGGCCCCCUGUCACUGCGACUGCCGUCCCAAGCCGGUCGGUGGUGUACGUGUGCUUCGGCAGCCUCGCCCACGUCUCCGACGCUCAGCUGGACGAGCUCGCCCUCGGGCUCGAGGCCUCAGGGAUGGCGUUCCUGUGGGUGGUGAGGACGGAUAAGUGGUCUCCCCCGGAGCGGUGGCACGGGCGUGUUGGAGGCAGGGGCAUGGUGGCCACCGCCUGGGCUCCCCAAAGGGCUAUCCUGGGGCACCGGGCGGUGGGGGCCUUCGUGACACACUGCGGGUGGAAGUCCGUCCCGGAGACGGUGGCGGCGGGCGUGCCGGUGCUCACAUGGCCAAUAGUGUUCGAGCAGUUCAUCACCGAGAGGCUGCUGACGGAGGUCCUAGGGAUCGGGGAGCGGCUGUGGCCGGCCGGCGCCGGUGUUCGGAGCACGAGGUAUGAAGAGAAGGAGGUGAUCCCCGCCCAAGAUGUGGCACGGGCAUUGACGACAUUCAUGCAGCCUGGAGGGCCGGGGGAUGCGGCGAGGAGCAGAGUUAUGGGCCUGGCCUCCAAGGUUCACGCCGCGGUGGCGGAAGGAGGAUCCUCCGACCGUGAUCUGCACCGCUUGAUAGAUGACCUCAUGGAAGCUGUCGGUGCCGCUGCCGGAAGGACGACGAUAUGA
RNAcentral lists this ribosomal RNA (1341 nucleotides) under Triticum aestivum (bread wheat). RNAcentral describes it as "partial small subunit ribosomal RNA". The record is from RNAcentral. Lineage: Eukaryota; Viridiplantae; Streptophyta; Magnoliopsida; Poales; Poaceae.